Molecule: ribosomal RNA, 253 nt
Filed under: uncultured bacterium
Lineage: Bacteria
Description: partial 16S ribosomal RNA
Rfam family: Bacterial small subunit ribosomal RNA
Source: RNAcentral
UACGUAGGUGGCGAGCGUUGUCCGGAUUUAUUGGGUUUAAAGGGUGCGUAGGCGGUCCUAUAAGUCAGUGGUGAAAUAUCGCAGCUCAGCUGUGAGGGUGCCAUUGAUACUGUAGGACUUGAGUGAAUUUGAGGUAGGCGGAAUUGACGGUGUAGCGGUGAAAUGCUUAGAUAUCGUCAAGAACACCGAUAGUGAAGACAGCUUACCAAGCUUCAACUGACGCUGAGGCACGAAAGUGUGGGGAUCAAUCAGG